RNAcentral lists this ribosomal RNA (1017 nucleotides) under uncultured bacterium. Its description in RNAcentral is "partial 16S ribosomal RNA". The record is from RNAcentral.
AACAUUUCACAACACGAGCUGACGACAGCCAUGCAGCACCUGUCUCAGAGUUCCCGAAGGCACUAAGCUAUCUCUAGCGAAUUCUCUGGAUGUCAAGAGUAGGUAAGGUUCUUCGCGUUGCAUCGAAUUAAACCACAUGCUCCACCGCUUGUGCGGGCCCCCGUCAAUUCAUUUGAGUUUUAACCUUGCGGCCGUACUCCCCAGGCGGUCAACUUAAUGCGUUAGCUGCGCCACUAAAAGCUCAAGGCUUCCAACGGCUAGUUGACAUCGUUUACGGCGUGGACUACCAGGGUAUCUAAUCCUGUUUGCUCCCCACGCUUUCGCACCUCAGUGUCAGUAUUAGUCCAGGUGGUCGCCUUCGCCACUGGUGUUCCUUCCUAUAUCUACGCAUUUCACCGCUACACAGGAAAUUCCACCACCCUCUACCAUACUCUAGUCAGUCAGUUUUGAAUGCAGUUCCCAGGUUGAGCCCGGGGAUUUCACAUCCAACUUAACAAACCACCUACGCGCGCUUUACGCCCAGUAAUUCCGAUUAACGCUUGCACCCUCUGUAUUACCGCGGCUGCUGGCACAGAGUUAGCCGGUGCUUAUUCUGUCGGUAACGUCAAAACAAUCACGUAUUAGGUAACUGCCCUUCCUCCCAACUUAAAGUGCUUUACAAUCCGAAGACCUUCUUCACACACGCGGCAUGGCUGGAUCAGGCUUUCGCCCAUUGUCCAAUAUUCCCCACUGCUGCCUCCCGUAGGAGUCUGGACCGUGUCUCAGUUCCAGUGUGACUGAUCAUCCUCUCAGACCAGUUACGGAUCGUCGCCUUGGUGAGCCAUUACCCCACCAACUAGCUAAUCCGACCUAGGCUCAUCUGAUAGCGCAAGGCCCGAAGGUCCCCUGCUUUCUCCCGUAGGACGUAUGCGGUAUUAGCGUCCGUUUCCGAACGUUAUCCCCCACUACCAGGCAGAUACCUAGGCAUUACUCACCCGUCCGCCGCUCUCAAGAGAAGCAAGCUUCUCUCUACCGCUC